GUCCUUAUAGUUUAUCGGUAAAACAUAGUACUGUUAAUACUAAUAGAUAGGUUCGACUCCUAUUAAGGACU
Molecule: transfer RNA, 71 nt
Organism: Sugiyamaella lignohabitans
Lineage: Eukaryota; Fungi; Ascomycota; Dipodascomycetes; Dipodascales; Trichomonascaceae
Rfam family: tRNA
About the family: Transfer RNA (tRNA) molecules are approximately 80 nucleotides in length. Their secondary structure includes four short double-helical elements and three loops (D, anti-codon, and T loops). Further hydrogen bonds mediate the characteristic L-shaped molecular structure. tRNAs have two regions of fundamental functional importance: the anti-codon, which is responsible for specific mRNA codon recognition, and the 3' end, to which the tRNAs corresponding amino acid is attached (by aminoacyl-tRNA synthetases). tRNAs cope with the degeneracy of the genetic code in two manners: having more than one tRNA (with a specific anti-codon) for a particular amino acid; and 'wobble' base-pairing, i.e. permitting non-standard base-pairing at the 3rd anti-codon position.
Source: Rfam